RNAcentral lists this ribosomal RNA (2041 nucleotides) under Listeria monocytogenes. RNAcentral describes it as "partial 23S ribosomal RNA". It matches the Rfam family "Bacterial large subunit ribosomal RNA", at positions 28 to 2084 of the family's 2925-position model. The record is from RNAcentral. Lineage: Bacteria; Bacillati; Bacillota; Bacilli; Caryophanales; Listeriaceae.
AUGCCUUGGAAAAUGGAGCCGAAGAAGGACGUGAUUACCUGCGAAAAGUCUGGGGGAGCUGGAAGUAAGCUGCGAUCCCGGAAUGUCCGAAUGGGGAAACCUAACAUGAUUUAUCUCAUGUUAUCUAUAAGUGAAUACAUAGCUUAUAAGAAGGGAACCUAGGGAACUGAAACAUCUUAGUACCUAGAGGAAAAGAAAAUAAUAAUGAUUCUGUUAGUAGUGGCGAGCGAACACGGAACAGGCCAAACCGUUCUACGGGGCGGGGUUGUAGGACUUUUGUUAGAGUUACAAAGUUAUUGUAUAGUAGAAGCUAUUGGGAAGUAGCGGCAUAGAGGGUGAUACCCCCGUAUACGAAAUGCAAUAACCUCGAGAAAGUAUCCUGAGUACGGCGAAACACGUGAAAUUUUGUCGGAAUCUGCCAAGACCACUUGGUAAGCCUAAAUACUACCAUUUUACCGAUAGUGAACCAGUACCGUGAGGGAAAGGUGAAAAGCACCCCGAGAGGGGAGUGAAAGAGAUCCUGAAACCAUAUGCUUACAAGAAGGUAGAGCCCGUUAAUGGGUGAUACCGUGCUUUUUGUAGAAAGAGCCGGCGAGUUACUAUUGCAUGCGAGGUUAAGUCGAUAUAGAUGGAGCCGUAGUGAAAGCGAGCCUUAAUAGGGCGUUUAGUAUGCAGUAGUAGACACGAAACCGGGUGAUCUAGCCAUGAGCAGGUUGAAGUUAGGGUAAAACCUAAUGGAGGACCGAACCAGUAUUCGUUGAAAAGACUUUGGAUGACUUGUGGCUAGCGGUGAAAUUCCAAUCGAACCCGGAGAUAGCUAGUUCUCCCCGAUAUAUCUUUAAGGAUAGCGUUAUGUGAAUUGUUGUGGAGGUAGAGCACUGAAUCUAUGAUGGCUGCACCUAGCGGUACUGAUUAGAAUUAAACUCCGAAUGCCAUAACUUGUGCAUAGCAGUCAGAACAUGGGUGAUAAGGUCCAUGCUCGUGAGGGAAACAGCCCAGAUCGUCAGCUAAGGUCCCUAAGUGUAAACUAAGUGUGUAAGGAUGUGGAACUGCACAGACAGCUAGGAUGUUGGCUUAGAAGCAGCCAUCAUUUAAAGAGUGCGUAACAGCUCACUAGUCGAGUGAUUCUGCGCCGAAAAUGUACCGGGGCUUAAGUUUACCACCGAAGCUACGGAUUGUACGCAAGUACAGUGGUAGGGGAGCGUUCCAAGGGUGAUGAAGUCAGACCGUAAGGACUGGUGGAGCGCUUGGAAGUGAUUAUGCCGGCAUGAGUAACGUUUGGAAGUGAGAAUCUUCCAUGCCGUUUGACCAAGGUUUCCUGGGCAAGGUUCGUCCACCCAGGGUUAGUCAGGACCUAAGACGAGGCCGACAGGCGUAGUCGAUGGACAACAGGUUGAUAUUCCUGUACCAGUUAAUUAGUGAUGGAGUGACGGAGAAGGAUAGUAUAUCCCGGGUGCUGGUUGUCCCGGGCUAAGCACAAAGACGGCAACAUUGGCAAAUCCGUGUUGUAUUAACGUUGAAGUGUGAUGGGGAGUGAACGGUUCGCCUAGUAACGAAGUAUAUGACUCCACGCUUCCAAGAAAAGCUUCUAACAUUAAUAAUUAACUGCCUGUACCUAGAACGAACACACGUGGUCAAGGAGAAAAUCCUAAGGCAAGCGAGAUAACUGUAGCUAAGGAACUCUGCAAAAUAACUCCGUAACUUCGGAAGAAGGAGUGCUCAUCUUUGAUGAGCCGCAGUGAAGAGGGAGGGGCAACUGUUUAACAAAAACACAGCUCUCUGCUAAGUCGCAAGACGAUGUAUAGGGGGUGACACCUGCCCAGUGCCGGAAGGUUAAGAGGAGAAGUCAGCGCAAGCGAAGCUUUGAAUUGAAGCCCCGGUGAACGGCGGCCGUAACAAUAACGGUCCUAAGGUAGCGAAAUUCCUUGUCAGGUAAAUUCUGACCCGCACGAAAGGUGUAAUGAUCCCUUCGCUGUCUCGGCUGCAGACUCGGUGAAAUUUUAGUACCGGUGAAGAUGCCGGUUACCCGCAACUAGACGGA